Molecule: long non-coding RNA, 592 nt
Organism: Callithrix jacchus (white-tufted-ear marmoset)
Lineage: Eukaryota; Metazoa; Chordata; Mammalia; Primates; Cebidae
Source: RefSeq, a predicted model, not a curated record
AGUGAGGACAUGGCCUGUGCCGUGGCUGUGGGCACUGCUGGAGUUCAGAUCUGCCCAGUUUUUGCUGUGGCAGCCAUCUGUGCUCAGGUGUAACCUGACUCUGUCUCACCUCAGCUGCACCAUUUAUCACUUGCUUUCCAUCCUGGGGCAUCCCUGCUAACAUCACCUAGGAUACCUACAGAAAUUUGCUCAGUCAUUUAUAGCCACACACUUCAAGUGUGAGAAAGAGCCAGAAGACACAUAAGCCAUGCUGACAUACUGAGGACAGGUCAGCUUCCAGGCAGGAGCUGAGUGAAGAAUGGAGAGUGGAUGUGAAGCGGAAAUUGGCAGAGAUACCCAGUGACUCUGUGGAAAGACAUCUCAGUGUCUGUGCAAGAGUGCUCAUCAGUCUCUCUACUUACAACCUACCGUUACUGUCCAUUCCCUCUUCGGUUACACUGUGAUCCUAUCUAGGUGUUAUUAUUUAUCAUUCUACCACUUUUGGAAUAAAAUGAGGUUGGAAAAAUACCCAUUGCAGAUACUGCUAAUUGAUCAGGGCUGUUUUUUUCCCCCCACUAAGCCUGAAUUUAGUAUCAAAAUCCUUCUUAACAUA